This 468-nucleotide ribosomal RNA is filed under the name uncultured bacterium. RNAcentral's name for it is "partial 16S ribosomal RNA". It matches the Rfam family "Bacterial small subunit ribosomal RNA", at positions 28 to 507 of the family's 1533-position model. The record is from RNAcentral.
GACGAACGCUGGCGGCGUGCUUAACACAUGCAAGUCGAACGGAAAGGCCCUGCUUUUGUGGGGUGCUCGAGUGGCGAACGGGUGAGUAACACGUGAGUAACCUGCCCUUGACUUUGGGAUAACUUCAGGAAACUGGGGCUAAUACCGGAUAGGAGCUCCUGCUGCAUGGUGGGGGUUGGAAAGUUUCGGCGGUUGGGGAUGGACUCGCGGCUUAUCAGCUUGUUGGUGGGGUAGUGGCUUACCAAGGCUUUGACGGGUAGCCGGCCUGAGAGGGUGACCGGCCACAUUGGGACUGAGAUACGGCCCAGACUCCUACGGGAGGCAGCAGUGGGGAAUAUUGCACAAAGGGCGGAAGCCUGAUGCAGCAACGCCGCGUGCGGGAUGACGGCCUUCGGGUUGUAAACCGCUUUCGCCUGCGACGAAGCGUGAGUGACGGUAAUGGGUAAAGAAGCACCGGCUAACUACGUG